UACGUAGGGCGCAAGCGUUGUCCGGAAUUAUUGGGCGUAAAGAGCUCGUAGGCGGUUUGUCGCGUCUGCUGUGAAAACCUGAGGCUCAACCUCGGGCUUGCAGUGGGUACGGGCAGACUAGAGUGCGGUAGGGGUGACUGGAAUUCCUGGUGUAGCGGUGGAAUGCGCAGAUAUCAGGAGGAACACCGAUGGCGAAGGCAGGUCACUGGGCCUGUGACUGACGCUCAUGCACGAAAGCGUGGGGAGCAAACAGG
Molecule: ribosomal RNA, 254 nt
Filed under: uncultured bacterium
Lineage: Bacteria
Description: partial 16S ribosomal RNA
Rfam family: Bacterial small subunit ribosomal RNA
Source: RNAcentral